UACGGAGGGUGCAAGCGUUAUCCGGAUUCACUGGGUUUAAAGGGUGCGUAGGUGGGCAGUUAAGUCAGUGGUGAAAUCUCCGGGCUCAACCCGAAAACUGCCAUUGAUACUAUCUGUCUUGAAUAUCGUGGAGGUAAGCGGAAUAUGUCAUGUAGCGGUGAAAUGCUUAGAUAUGACAUAGAACACCAAUUGCGAAGGCAGCUUACUACCCGAAUAUUGACACUGAGGCACGAAAGCGUGGGGAUCAAACAGG
Molecule: ribosomal RNA, 253 nt
Filed under: uncultured bacterium
Lineage: Bacteria
Description: partial 16S ribosomal RNA
Rfam family: Bacterial small subunit ribosomal RNA
Source: RNAcentral